AUUGAACGCUGGCGGCAUGCCUUACACAUGCAAGUCGAACGGUAACGGGCCUUCGGGUGCCGACGAGUGGCGAACGGGUGAGUAAUACAUCGGAACGUGCCCGAUCGUGGGGGAUAGCGAGGCGAAAGCUUUGCUAAUACCGCAUACGAUCUACGGCUGAAAGCAGGGGACCGCAAGGCCUCGUGCGGACUGAGCGGCCGAUGGCAGAUUAGGUAGUUGGUGGGAUAAAAGCUUACCAAGCCGACGAUCUGUAGCUGGUCUGAGAGGAUGAUCAGCCACACUGGGACUGAGACACGGCCCAGACUCCUACGGGAGGCAGCAGUGGGGAAUUUUGGACAAUGGGCGCAAGCCUGAUCCAGCCAUGCCGCGUGCAGGAUGAAGGCCUUCGGGUUGUAAACUGCUUUUGUACGGAACGAAAAGCCUUCUUUUAAUACAGGAGGGUGAUGACGGUACCGUAAGAAUAAGCACCGGCUAACUACGUG
RNAcentral lists this ribosomal RNA (482 nucleotides) under uncultured bacterium. RNAcentral describes it as "partial 16S ribosomal RNA". It matches the Rfam family "Bacterial small subunit ribosomal RNA", at positions 30 to 507 of the family's 1533-position model. The record is from RNAcentral.